RNAcentral lists this ribosomal RNA (578 nucleotides) under uncultured bacterium. RNAcentral describes it as "bacterial SSU rRNA". It matches the Rfam family "Bacterial small subunit ribosomal RNA", at positions 518 to 1098 of the family's 1533-position model. The record is from RNAcentral.
CGGUAUACGGAGGAUCCAAGCGUUAUCCGGAAUCAUUGGGUUUAAAGGGUCCGUAGGCGGGUUUGUAACUCAGUGGUGAUAGUCUGCAGCUCAACUGUAGAACUGCCAUUGAUACUGCAUACCUUGAGUAAUUAUGAAGUGGUUAGAAUAUGUAGUGUAGCGGUGAAAUGCAUAGAUAUUACAUAGAAUACCGAUUGCGAAGGCAGAUCACUAAUAAUUUACUGACGCUGAUGGACGAAAGCGUAGGUAGCGAACAGGAUUAGAUACCCUGGUAGUCUACGCCGUAAACGAUGGUUACUAGCUGUUUGGCUCGAUUGAGAGCUGAGUGGCUAAGCGAAAGUGAUAAGUAACCCACCUGGGGAGUACGUUCGCAAGAAUGAAACUCAAAGGAAUUGACGGGGGCCCGCACAAGCGGUGGAGCAUGUGGUUUAAUUCGAUGAUACGCGAGGAACCUUACCAGGGCUUAAAUGUAGCUUGACAGGGGUGGAAACACCUUUUCCUUCGGGCAAGUUACAAGGUGCUGCAUGGUUGUCGUCAGCUCGUGCCGUGAGGUGUCAGGUUAAGUCCUAUAACGAGCG